Molecule: ribosomal RNA, 253 nt
Filed under: uncultured bacterium
Lineage: Bacteria
Description: partial 16S ribosomal RNA
Rfam family: Bacterial small subunit ribosomal RNA
Source: RNAcentral
UACGUAGGGGGCAAGCGUUGUUCGGAAUUACUGGGCGUAAAGGGCGCGUAGGCGGCACGGCAAGUCAGGAGUGAAAGGCCUGGGCUCAACCGAGGAACUGCUUUUGAGACUGCCGAGCUAGAGUGCAGAAGGGGCAACUGGAAUUCCUGGUGUAGCGGUGAAAUGCGCAGAUAUCAGGAGGAACACCGGUGGCGAAGGCGGGUCUCUGGGCCGAUACUGACGCUGAGGAGCGAAAGCGUGGGGAGCGAACAGG